Molecule: non-coding RNA, 1899 nt
Organism: Physcomitrium patens
Lineage: Eukaryota; Viridiplantae; Streptophyta; Bryopsida; Funariales; Funariaceae
Source: RefSeq, a predicted model, not a curated record
ACUGUUGUGAAUCCAUUUCCCUGAAGUUUAAAGGGUGUGAGCUACUAGUCCCGACGUAGUACUUGUGUCAAUUGCAGCCAUGGAGUCUGCCCACAACGUCACCCACUCUUCUUCCCUAGUAACUGUAGUCACCACUUCAACAUGAGAGAAUAUGGUGAUAUCCUCCAUUGUUGCAUUUCUCAAGGUUAAGUGGAGUGAACACACAGCUUGUAGCGAUCAGGUUCUUGUCCAGUGAAAGUGGUUUCUGACCUCUCCCUUUGAGUUCCUAGAUGAUCUUUUCACCUGUUUGACGAUCAGGCAAGUUGGUUUUUUCAUGUUGAUCUGAAAUAUUAUUCAGGGGAGGAAUAGAUGAGGUGCAUGGAAUGGUAUUGAUUCUUCGAGAUGGUUUCACAUCACAGUGCAUGGAGCGACGAAUGACAAUCUGCUGCUGCACACAAGUUAUCAACCGGGUCCGAGUUAAAUAAGGCUGAUCAGGGUGAUGAGAAGCAGCAGCUCCUCACCAAGCAUGACUUUCCACCACAGGCUCAUCCGCUGUCACUGUUCGAAAUCAUCAGCCACAAGCUGGUCCAAGGGCAGCCACCGAAAGUCCUACAACCACAAUCUCCCAAAAGAGAAGAAAAACAGGUACUAGAACACGAAGAAGAUGCCAGCGAACAAGAAGAAGUAGAAGAACAGGAAGCAGCAGCCACCACGAUCCAGCAACGCUUUCUUACCAUCCCCCUGACUUGAUGUUUGGUGGAUUGACUGUUUGCAGGCUUUGAAAGGGUUGGUGAGGCUUCAGGCUUUGGUGCGAGGACAUCUGGUCCGCAGACAAGCCGCCAAAACGUUGCGAACCAUGGAAGCCAUAGUUCGUGUGCAAGCUGUGUUUCGAGGACGGCCUGUGAGAAUGUGCUUCAAAGGUGGCCUUGAGAGCUGUAAGAAGCUGCAGAACAUCAAGUCUAGCUCCAAGGCACAGCUCUAAUGGUGUGGUGCAUAAUGAGUGCUGAAUUGCAGGACAAGGUGAAGAUUGUAGGAAGUAUAGAGAAGCAAGCAAAGGUAAAAGUUCGAACUACGGCGCAUCUCAUCAACAGCUGAAGGAGACUACCCCAAACCAUAGCUCUUCUUUCACAGACUGUGACGCAAACCAUCCGCAAAAAGGCUGGGCAUGGGUGGAGCUCUGGACAUAAACCAGACCAUGGGUUCACAACACGCGCCAAGGCGGUGACUCAGACUCUGGCAAAGAUUCAUACAUUGAAAUCAACCCAAACCAGUCCUAGUACUACACCACAAAGGAAGUGAACGUCAACACCAAGGUCAAAUAUUAUGACGAUUACAUCUCAGACCAGGCCCCCAAAAAGACCCACUUCUCCUCACGACUCAUGAAGAAGGAGCUUGGUGUUGACUGGUCUGCACACAAACUACUGCAAAUGGAGGUGCCGGAUGCCACAGAAGAAGACCAGAAAGUGAGCACUCCAGAGUCAUCAUCUUCACUUUCUCAAGGCAAUGAAGGUUCGGAUGCUUCAUCUGUUAAAAAUGCGAGUCCACAAGGUUCGGAUGCUGCGUCUGUUUGUCAAAUGACAGAGACGUCUGCGGGAACUAGCAUGGUGGAAUUUGGUGGCGGUCAAGAGCCAUCAUGUGAUGGUGUGGCCAUGGAGCAGUUGGUGUUACAUGUCCAGGCAAUCAUGGAGGAGCUGAUCCAGCGCUCAGUGACAGUUUGUCGGGGUCCAAUGGUGUGCAUGUACAGGAAGAAGAUGCAAUUCUUGGCUUAGCUUCAGGUAUACUUAGCAUUUUAUAAAGUCAAACUCUCGUUUAACAAAACUGUGAUGUGAUGUGAUGUGAUGAAAUUAUAUUAUUAAGCAAUGUUUUCUUCCUUGCUCCGGAGUUGCGCUUUCUCGCCUAGAAGACGCGCUUUCUCAUCUU